UGUGAGCUCGAUGAGUAGGGCGGGACACGUGGUAUCCUGUCUGAAUAUGGGGGGACCAUCCUCCAAGGCUAAAUACUCCUGACUGACCGAUAGUGAACCAGUACCGUGAGGGAAAGGCGAAAAGAACCCCGGCGAGGGGAGUGAAAAAGAACCUGAAACCGUGUACGUACAAGCAGUGGGAGCACGCUUAGGCGUGUGACUGCGUACCUUUUGUAUAAUGGGUCAGCGACUUAUAUUCUGUAGCAAGGUUAACCGAAUAGGGGAGCCGAAGGGAAACCGAGUCUUAACUGGGCGUUAAGUUGCAGGGUAUAGACCCGAAACCCGGUGAUCUAGCCAUGGGCAGGUUGAAGGUUGGGUAACACUAACUGGAGGACCGAACCGACUAAUGUUGAAAAAUUAGCGGAUGACUUGUGGCUGGGGGUGAAAGGCCAAUCAAACCGGGAGAUAGCUGGUUCUCCCCGAAAGCUAUUUAGGUAGCGCCUCGUGAAUUCAUCUCCGGGGGUAGAGCACUGUUUCGGCAAGGGGGUCAUCCCGACUUACCAACCCGAUGCAAACUGCGAAUACCGGAGAAUGUUAUCACGGGAGACACACGGCGGGUGCUAACGUCCGUCGUGAAGAGGGAAACAACCCAGACCGCCAGCUAAGGUCCCAAAGUCAUGGUUAAGUGGGAAACGAUGUGGGAAGGCCCAGACAGCCAGGAUGUUGGCUUAGAAGCAGCCAUCAUUUAAAGAAAGCGUAAUAGCUCACUGGUCGAGUCGGCCUGCGCGGAAGAUGUAACGGGGCUAAACCAUGCACCGAAGCUGCGGCAGCGACGCUGAUGCGUUGUUGGGUAGGGGAGCGUUCUGUAAGCCUGCGAAGGUGUGCUGUGAGGCAUGCUGGAGGUAUCAGAAGUGCGAAUGCUGACAUAAGUAACGAUAAAGCGGGUGAAAAGCCCGCUCGCCGGAAGACCAAGGGUUCCUGUCCAACGUUAAUCGGGGCAGGGUGAGUCGACCCCUAAGGCGAGGCCGAAAGGCGUAGUCGAUGGGAAACAGGUUAAUAUUCCUGUACUUGGUGUUACUGCGAAGGGGGGACGGAGAAGGCUAUGUUGGCCGGGCGACGGUUGUCCCGGUUUAAGCGUGUAGGCUGGUUUUCCAGGCAAAUCCGGAAAAUCAAGGCUGAGGCGUGAUGACGAGGCACUACGGUGCUGAAGCAACAAAUGCCCUGCUUCCAGGAAAAGCCUCUAAGCAUCAGGUAACAUCAAAUCGUACCCCAAACCGACACAGGUGGUCAGGUAGAGAAUACCAAGGCGCUUGAGAGAACUCGGGUGAAGGAACUAGGCAAAAUGGUGCCGUAACUUCGGGAGAAGGCACGCUGAUAUGUAGGUGAAGUCCCUUGCGGAUGGAGCUGAAAUCAGUCGAAGAUACCAGCUGGCUGCAACUGUUUAUUAAAAACACAGCACUGUGCAAACACGAAAGUGGACGUAUACGGUGUGACGCCUGCCCGGUGCCGGAAGGUUAAUUGAUGGGGUCAGCGCAAGCGAAGCUCUUGAUCGAAGCCCCGGUAAACGGCGGCCGUAACUAUAACGGUCCUAAGGUAGCGAAAUUCCUUGUCGGGUAAGUUCCGACCUGCACGAAUGGCGUAAUGAUGGCCAGGCUGUCUCCACCCGAGACUCAGUGAAAUUGAACUCGCUGUGAAGAUGCAGUGUACCCGCGGCAAGACGGAAAGACCCCGUGAACCUUUACUAUAGCUUGACACUGAACAUUGAGCCUUGAUGUGUAGGAUAGGUGGGAGGCUUUGAAGUGUGGACGCCAGUCUGCAUGGAGCCGACCUUGAAAUACCACCCUUUAAUGUUUGAUGUUCUAACGUUGACCCGUAAUCCGGGUUGCGGACAGUGUCUGGUGGGUAGUUUGACUGGGGCGGUCUCCUCCUAAAGAGUAACGGAGGAGCACGAAGGUUGGCUAAUCCUGGUCGGACAUCAGGAGGUUAGUGCAAUGGCAUAAGCCAGCUUGACUGCGAGCGUGACGGCGCGAGCAGGUGCGAAAGCAGGUCAUAGUGAUCCGGUGGUUCUGAAUGGAAGGGCCAUCGCUCAACGGAUAAAAGGUACUCCGGGGAUAACAGGCUGAUACCGCCCAAGAGUUCAUAUCGACGGCGGUGUUUGGCACCUCGAUGUCGGCUCAUCACAUCCUGGGGCUGAAGUAGGUCCCAAGGGUAUGGCUGUUCGCCAUUUAAAGUGGUACGCGAGCUGGGUUUAGAACGUCGUGAGACAGUUCGGUCCCUAUCUGCCGUGGGCGCUGGAGAACUGAGGGGGGCUGCUCCUAGUACGAGAGGACCGGAGUGGACGCAUCACUGGUGUUCGGGUUGUCAUGCCAAUGGCACUGCCCGGUAGCUAAAUGCGGAAGAGAUAAGUGCUGAAAGCAUCUAAGCACGAAACUUGCCCCGAGAUGAGUUCUCCCUGACCCUUUAAGGGUCCUGAAGGAACGUUGAAGACGACGACGUUGAUAGGCCGGGUGUGUAAGCGCAGCGAUGCGUUGAGCUAACCGGUACUAAUGAACCGUGAGGCUUAACCUU
Molecule: ribosomal RNA, 2547 nt
Filed under: Escherichia coli
Lineage: Bacteria; Pseudomonadati; Pseudomonadota; Gammaproteobacteria; Enterobacterales; Enterobacteriaceae
Description: partial 23S ribosomal RNA
Rfam family: Bacterial large subunit ribosomal RNA
Source: RNAcentral